UAUUGGACAAUGGGGGCAACCCUGAUCCAGCCAUGCCGCGUGUGUGAAGAAGGCCUUCGGGUUGUAAAGCACUUUAAGCAGGGAGGAAGGCUUCAAGGCUAAUAUCCUUGAGGAUUGACGUUACCUGCAGAAUAAGCACCGGCUAACUCCGUGCCAGCAGCCGCGGUAAUACGGAGGGUGCAAGCGUUAAUCGGAAUUACUGGGCGUAAAGCGCACGUAGGUGGCUGUUUAAGUCGGGUGUGAAAUCCCUGGGCUCAACCUGGGAAUUGCAUUUGAUACUGAGCGGCUAGAGUACGGUAGAGGGAGGUAGAAUUCCUAGUGUAGCGGUGAAAUGCGUAGAUAUUAGGAGGAAUACCGGUGGCGAAGGCGGCCUCCUGGACUGAUACUGACACUGAGGUGCGAAAGCGUGGGGAGCAAACAGG
RNAcentral lists this ribosomal RNA (422 nucleotides) under uncultured bacterium. RNAcentral describes it as "bacterial SSU rRNA". It matches the Rfam family "Bacterial small subunit ribosomal RNA", at positions 362 to 776 of the family's 1533-position model. The record is from RNAcentral.